UAAACAAUACAACUUCUCUUUAAGAAGAACUCAUUGACUCACGAAAUGGCCCUCGCAAUCCUUGAUGAAUCUUCAGAUAACUCAAGAACGAAAUCGCUUGUAGAGUCUUCCCCAAUCCCAUCUGCUCAAUCCUUAGAUUAGACUCAAAACAUAGACACAAUUCACAAAGAGAGCAUUUUCAAAAACGAUGGUGGUAUGGUACCUCGUCUCCUGCAAUUAGAAAUCGAAACACAAUUGAUUGAAUCGGUUUAACUUUUUUAAGUUCCGGUUAGUACUCUGAAACGGAAUCGGAGAGUUACCGAGAACGACAUUGACGCCGAGGAGAUACUUGUGUAUAAGCCAAGAGACUCCUUCGACUUGGUGAGGCUUUAGAGUCGCUGUGACACCGAACUCUCUGCAAUCGGGAGGCGCGUGUGUAGCUUGUGUAUUCGCG
RNAcentral lists this long non-coding RNA (433 nucleotides) under Brassica rapa (field mustard). Its description in RNAcentral is "long non-coding RNA (BRAP_LNC003231)". Lineage: Eukaryota; Viridiplantae; Streptophyta; Magnoliopsida; Brassicales; Brassicaceae. The record is from RNAcentral.